AAUGAACGCUGGCGGCAGGCUUAACACAUGCAAGUCGAGCGCCCCGCCAGUGGGGCGGUAGUCGGGUGGGUGACGCGUGGCAACGUACCCUUAUCUUCGGGCUAGCUCCGGGACACUGGAAUUAAUACCGACUGUGCCUUUUGGGGGAAAGGUUUAUCGGAUAAGGGUCGGCCCGCGUUGGAUUCGCUAGUUGGUGGGGUGAAGGCCUACCAAGGGGACUAUCCAUAGCUGGUCUGAGAGGAUGAUCAGCCACAUUGUGACUGAGACACGGCCCAAACUCUUACGGGAGGCGGCAGUGGGGAAUAUUGGACAAUGGGCGCAAGCCUGAUCCAGCCAUGCCGCGUGAGUGAUGAAGGCGUUAGGGUUGUAAAGCUCUUUCACCGGAGAAGAUAAUGACGGUACCCGAAGAAGAAGCCCCGGCUAACUUCGUG
RNAcentral lists this ribosomal RNA (431 nucleotides) under uncultured bacterium. Its description in RNAcentral is "partial 16S ribosomal RNA". It matches the Rfam family "Bacterial small subunit ribosomal RNA", at positions 29 to 507 of the family's 1533-position model. The record is from RNAcentral.